UCCCCAGAGCCUCCGGUAGCACAGCCGAGACAGCGACGGGUUCUCUGCCCCUGCGGGGAUGGAGCGACAGAAGUUUUGAGAAUUCAAGAG
RNAcentral lists this ribosomal RNA (90 nucleotides) under Phaeostigma variifolium. RNAcentral describes it as "4.5S ribosomal RNA". Lineage: Eukaryota; Viridiplantae; Streptophyta; Magnoliopsida; Asterales; Asteraceae. The record is from RNAcentral.